GUCCCACUUGGCCACCAACAUACGGUA
RNAcentral lists this non-coding RNA (27 nucleotides) under Rattus norvegicus (Norway rat). The record is from RNAcentral. Lineage: Eukaryota; Metazoa; Chordata; Mammalia; Rodentia; Muridae.